The sequence is a ribosomal RNA, 813 nucleotides long. It matches the Rfam family "Bacterial large subunit ribosomal RNA", at positions 1 to 810 of the family's 2925-position model.
AGAUUAAGUUAUUAAGGGCGCACGGUGGAUGCCUUGGCACUAGAAGCCGAUGAAGGACGUUACUAACGACGAUAUGCUUUGGGGAGCUGUAAGUAAGCUUUGAUCCAGAGAUUUCCGAAUGGGGAAACCCAGCAUGAGUUAUGUCAUGUUAUCGAUAUGUGAAUACAUAGCAUAUCAGAAGGCACACCCGGAGAACUGAAACAUCUUAGUACCCGGAGGAAGAGAAAGAAAAUUCGAUUCCCUUAGUAGCGGCGAGCGAAACGGGAAGAGCCCAAACCAACAAGCUUGCUUGUUGGGGUUGUAGGACACUCUAUACGGAGUUACAAAGGACGACAUUAGACGAAUCAUCUGGAAAGAUGAAUCAAAGAAGGUAAUAAUCCUGUAGUCGAAAAUGUUGUCUCUCUUGAGUGGAUCCUGAGUACGACGGAGCACGUGAAAUUCCGUCGGAAUCUGGGAGGACCAUCUCCUAAGGCUAAAUACUCUCUAGUGACCGAUAGUGAACCAGUACCGUGAGGGAAAGGUGAAAAGCACCCCGGAAGGGGAGUGAAAUAGAACCUGAAACCGUGUGCUUACAAGUAGUCAGAGCCCGUUAAUGGGUGAUGGCGUGCCUUUUGUAGAAUGAACCGGCGAGUUACGAUUUGAUGCAAGGUUAAGCAGUAAAUGUGGAGCCGUAGCGAAAGCGAGUCUGAAUAGGGCGUUUAGUAUUUGGUCGUAGACCCGAAACCAGGUGAUCUACCCUUGGUCAGGUUGAAGUUCAGGUAACACUGAAUGUAGGACCGAACCGACUUACGUUGAAAAGUGAGCGGAUGAACU